Molecule: ribosomal RNA, 1376 nt
Filed under: uncultured bacterium
Lineage: Bacteria
Description: 16S ribosomal RNA
Rfam family: Bacterial small subunit ribosomal RNA
Source: RNAcentral
UUAGAGUUUGAUCCUGGCUCAAGACGAACGCUGGCGGCGUGCCUAACACAUGCAAGUCGAGCGGGGACACGGGGCUUCGGUCCUGUGUUCUAGCGGCGGACGGGUGAGUAACGCGUGAGCAAUCUGUCCCAGACAGGGGGAUAACAACUGGAAACAGUUGCUAAUACCGCAUAACACCACGGCCUCGCAUGGGGGCUGGGGUAAAAGUGGAAACACGGUUUGGGGUGAGCUCGCCUCCCAUUAGCUAGUUGGUGAGGUAACGGCCCACCAAGGCGACGAUGGGUAGCCGACCUGAGAGGGUGAUCGGCCACACUGGAACUGAGACACGGUCCAGACUCCUACGGGAGGCAGCAGUGGGGAAUAUUGGGCAAUGGGCGAAAGCCUGACCCAGCAACGCCGCGUGAGGGAUGAAUGUUUUCGGAUUGUAAACCUCUGUCCUCAGGGACGAAGGAAGUGACGGUACCUGAGGAGGAAGCCCCGGCUAACUACGUGCCAGCAGCCGCGGUAAUACGUAGGGGGCGAGCGUUGUCCGGAAUGACUGGGCGUAAAGGGCGCGUAGGCGGCUGUGUAAGUCUGGAGUGAAAGUCCUGCUUUUAAGGUGGGAAUUGCUUUGGAGACUGCAUGGCUUGAGUGCGGAAGAGGCAAGUGGAAUUCCCAGUGUAGCGGUGAAAUGCGUAGAGAUUGGGAAGAACACCAGUGGCGAAGGCGACUUGCUGGGCCGUAACUGACGCUGAGGCGCGAAAGCGUGGGGAGCGAACAGGAUUAGAUACCCUGGUAGUCCACGCCGUAAACGAUGAAUGUUAGGGGUAGGGGGUAUCGACCCCUCCUGGCCGGGAGUAAACACAAUAAGCAUUCCGCCUGGGGAGUACGGCCGCAAGGUUGAAACUCAAAGGAAUUGACGGGGGCCCGCACAAGCAGCGGAGCAUGUGGUUUAAUUCGACGCAACGCGAAGAACCUUACCAGGUCUUGACAUCCUGCUAACGAGGUAGAGAUACGUUAGGUGCCCUUUGGGGAGAGCAGAGACAGGUGGUGCAUGGUUGUCGUCAGCUCGUGUCGUGAGAUGUUGGGUUAAGUCCCGCAACGAGCGCAACCCUUAUGAAUAGUUACUAACACGUAAUGGUGAGGACUCUAUUGAGACUGCCGGGGACAACUCGGAGGAAGGUGGGGACGACGUCAAAUCAUCAUGCCCCUUAUGACCUGGGCUACACACGUGCUACAAUGGCGACCACAAAGGGAAGCGAAUUCGUAAGGAAGAGCGAAUCCCAAAAAAGUCGUCCCAGUUCGGAUUGUGGGCUGCAACCCGCCCACAUGAAGUUGGAGUUGCUAGUAAUCGCGAAUCAGCAUGUCGCGGUGAAUACGUUCCCGGGCCUUGCACA